UACGGAGGGGGCUAGCGUUGUUCGGAAUUACUGGGCGUAAAGCGCGCGUAGGCGGCUUUGCAAGCCGGAUGUGAAAUCCCCGGGCUUAACCUGGGAACUGCAUUCGGGACUGCAUUGCUAGAGUAUGGGAGAGGGAAGUGGAAUUUCAGGUGUAGCGGUGAAAUGCGUAGAUAUCUGAAGGAACAUCAGUGGCGAAAGCGACUUCCUGGACCAAUACUGACGCUCAUGUGCGAAAGCGUGGGGAGCAAACAGG
This 253-nucleotide ribosomal RNA is filed under the name uncultured bacterium. RNAcentral's name for it is "partial 16S ribosomal RNA". It matches the Rfam family "Bacterial small subunit ribosomal RNA", at positions 524 to 776 of the family's 1533-position model. The record is from RNAcentral.